UACGAAGGGGGCUAGCGUUGCUCGGAAUCACUGGGCGUAAAGCGCACGUAGGCGGCUUUCUAAGUCAGGGGUGAAAUCCUGGAGCUCAACUCCAGAACUGCCUUUGAUACUGGAGAGCUUGAGUCCGGAAGAGGUGAGUGGAACUCCGAGUGUAGAGGUGAAAUUCGUAGAUAUUCGGAAGACCACCAGUGGCGAAGGCGGCUUGCCAGAACGCGCUCGACGGUGAGGGAUGAAAGCUGGGGGAGCAAACCGG
Molecule: ribosomal RNA, 253 nt
Filed under: uncultured bacterium
Lineage: Bacteria
Description: partial 16S ribosomal RNA
Rfam family: Bacterial small subunit ribosomal RNA
Source: RNAcentral